AUUGAACGCUGGCGGCAUGCCUUACACAUGCAAGUCGAACGGUAACAGGUCUUCGGAUGCUGACGAGUGGCGAACGGGUGAGUAAUACAUCGGAACGUGCCUAGUAGUGGGGGAUAACUACUCGAAAGGGUGGCUAAUACCGCAUGAGAUCUACGGAUGAAAGCAGGGGAUCGCAAGACCUUGUGCUACUAGAGCGGCUGAUGGCAGAUUAGGUAGUUGGUGGAAUAAAAGCUUACCAAGCCGACGAUCUGUAGCUGGUCUGAGAGGACGAUCAGCCACACUGGGACUGAGACACGGCCCAGACUCCUACGGGAGGCAGCAGUGGGGAAUUUUGGACAAUGGGCGCAAGCCUGAUCCAGCAAUGCCGCGUGCAGGAUGAAGGCCUUCGGGUUGUAAACUGCUUUUGUACGGAACGAAAAGCCCUGGGUUAAUACCCUGGGGUCAUGACGGUACCGUAAGAAUAAGCACCGGCUAACUACGUGCCAGCCGCCGCGGUAA
This 498-nucleotide ribosomal RNA is filed under the name uncultured bacterium. RNAcentral's name for it is "partial 16S ribosomal RNA". It matches the Rfam family "Bacterial small subunit ribosomal RNA", at positions 30 to 523 of the family's 1533-position model. The record is from RNAcentral.